GAUUGGAAUAAGACCCAUGCCACUGCAGCUGAGCCACGAGGUCCAAAACAACCAGGUUUGGAGGCUUCUCAUAGUCGGUGAAGCUUUGGUAUCCAUUAGAGUAGUAAUCUGGUUCUGCGUCACCGGUAAAGUGGUGGUUGUGGGCCGUGAGAGCGAGGUAAAACAGCUGUUUGGCGGGCUUGGAAGGUCCGUGCAGGAUGAACCAUAGUUGAGAAGGAAAGAAAUACAAUGACAUUGCAUUUCAAUGACUUGUUUG
RNAcentral lists this unclassified non-coding RNA (256 nucleotides) under Hevea brasiliensis (rubber tree). The record is from RNAcentral. Lineage: Eukaryota; Viridiplantae; Streptophyta; Magnoliopsida; Malpighiales; Euphorbiaceae.